Molecule: long non-coding RNA, 3679 nt
Organism: Triticum aestivum (bread wheat)
Lineage: Eukaryota; Viridiplantae; Streptophyta; Magnoliopsida; Poales; Poaceae
Exons: 4
Source: RefSeq, a predicted model, not a curated record
UCUCGUAGGGUUUCUUGAGCGGAGGGCAUCGCACUGCCGCCGGCCAUCUCUCCUCUGCUCCCUCCCGCCGCCGUGCAUCUCGCCAUAUCGCUCAUCCGCUCGCCAGUCCCGCCUCUCCUUUACCGCGACGCCGGAAGCCAUCGCCCUCACCCCGACCACGAAGCCAGCGUCCAAUCCACUCGCUCCGACCUCGACAACGCCGCCGGACCCCGUCGCUCGACCCCGUCGCCUCUACCUUGAAUGAGUCAUCGGAAACAGCCGCUCGACCCUUACCCCGUGCAAUAACGCCGUGCUCCCAUCCCUAUUGACCCUGACACCGCUGCUUCACCCCUACCCCGACCUCGCACCAGACGUGGUCGCUCUACCUCGUAGCAGCUCUUGUCAAGAUGGUUGCUUACUGAGAUGGUCGGUUGUGGGAAGGCAGUCGACUCCAGCGCGGUCAAGGAGGGGACGUCGAGCAGGGUUUUGAAUUUCGGCCGAAAAAAAUGGAUUUCGGCCGAAUUUCGGCCAUCUCGGCCUAGGGCGAAAUCUAUCUUCCGCCGAAAUUGGUCAAAUUUGAGAAAUUUUGGUCAAAUUUUAAUCAAAUUUCAGUCAAAAUUUGGUCAAAUUUGGGCCGAAAUUUUUAAAAAUGACCGAAAUUCGGCCAUCUCGGCCUAGGGCGAGAAAAAUCACAAACCGAAAAUCAAAACGCUGACGUCGAGCAGCACCAGGGUCAGGCUGUAGUUCCCCGUUGGCAGGAUUGCUAGAUUCCUCAAGACUGGCAAGUACACCAAGCGUAUUGGCGCCGGCGUCCCCAUCUACCUCACCACCGUCCACGAGCGCCUCGCCGCUGAGGGGUCCUGGAGCUGGCCGGCAAUGCUGCCAGGGACAACAAAAAGAGUUGUAUUGUGCCCCGCCACAUUCAGCUCGCCGUGUGCAAUGAUGAGGAGCUAACCAAGCUGCUCGAUGGUGCCACCUGUAGUUGCGCCGCUCGCCACUACCAUCUCUGGCAUGGAUAACUUCCAGAGCCUCACCAUCCUCAUGAAUAUCCAGUCCAUGUUAAUUCUCAUUGGUCACAACUAAACUUCGCCUUCUCAUGAUACCAUCUUUGCUUUGUUUGAUAAUAAGACAUGACAUAGGGGGGCAGGCAACAUUGAUCCGAAGAAUCAUGUCACCCAUCUUGUUCUCAGGUGCUACACCUACAAUACUGAAAAGAGGAUAUACAUGAGAAUGACACUUCACAGUUGAUUUGAUAACAUCAUAUACAUGUAUUGGUAUAUUCUCGUCACAAUGUUAGUAGUUGGCUAUAAAUAACUGGUUUUGAUUCAUCCAUCUAACUCGGCAUGAUGGUUAUCUGCUCAGUCUCCCUGAAUUUAGCAUAAAUCAAUCUCCAACUAUUAAUAAAUGGCUUCAAUUCAUCCAUCUAGCUUGGCAUGAUGGUUAUCUGCUUAGUCUUUCUGAAUUUAGCAUGAUCAAUCGCCAACUAUAAAUAACUGGUUUCGAUUCAUCCAUCUAGCUCGGCAUGACGGUUAUCUGCUAAUUCUCUCUGGAAUUAGCAUUAUCAAUCUUCAAUUUAUGAGUAUUUUAACCCAAUUUGUUCUCUAAAUAUUUCACCAGCUAUCUCAUGUUGGUUGUAAGGAUCACAAGACAGACAGGAGCUUGGAGCAAGUCCAUCCAUGUCGGCUCCUUUUCAUUUAUUUAUUUUGUGAAUUCCUUUUCAUUUAUUCAUGAGCAUACUUUUAUUACUGUUCUUGCAUAAUAGGAGUCAUGAGGAUUGCUCCUCCAUAAGCAGCGGCAUACUCCUAGAUGACAACUUGCCUAAAUGAGCUGAUAGAGGUGAUGGGGAAAGGCUAAUGACGGUUUCUUGGAAAUAUAUAGACCAUGUAUAGUUUAUGUAGAUCGAUAUGAUUUAUUAUUGGGACAGAUAGCGUACGCAUAUUAGCCUAUGAGAUUGUUGCUGUAGAUUCCAGUGUUUGCAUUUUCCGCCUUGAUUUCAUUUCAUACGGCUUUAGUAAGACCAUCACAUGGGUUGUUUGCAUUUGACACCUUGAUUUCCUUUGUACGGUUUUAAUUAGACCAUAACAUGGGUUAAUUGGUCAGGAGGGGGCCAACAUCCAGCAAGAUAUGGUGCUGCAAAAUGAAUGUGGGGUUUGUCUAGCUAAUCAGGUCGGUGUGGUGCAGUACCCUCUACUGUUCGUAUCUUCUUUUUUGUUGCAAUUCUGAUGUCCUGAUUCUGUUGCUUAGUUGUAAUAUAUUUCCAUUCACUUGGUCUCCAGAUAUCCAGAAACAUGUGAGGAAACAUGUUGCUUGAAUGGUCAACUCCAUCGCUGGCUAUCUUUUAGACUUCCUACACUUGUUGCGUUAUCUUCAGUGAAAAAUUGUUAUAUGCUAGGAAACAAGCUUCAAAUAUGAUUAAGAACACACCUAAAUACAUUCUUAGUCCAAUAGUUAAUUAGAAUGGCACCACCUAGCUUGCUAUUUUUGACCUCCGAGCCAUCCAUUAGUCAUAUGUCGCUGUCCCAAUGCACUGGCUUCUUAGUACUGUAUUUUGCCUAUUAUCCUAUCAAUUGUUUCGGAAAAUGUCUCUAGACGUGUGGUUCAUCUGCUGCAUGAGACAAUCUUUCCUUAUUUAUUUGAUCCUUAUAAGUCACAUCAAAGAUGUAUUCUAACAAAUCCAUCUUAAUCAGUAAUAUGUCUAUCUGGCUCUAGCUUCCUGUCUAUGUCAGAUUUGACUUUAAUAUCAUCAAUGAUCCAAAACCCUUAGUUGAUUCAUCCAUGUUAGAUAAUAUUUAUUUAGUAUGAAAUUUUUCUGCAAGUAAGCGUAUUUACGUAGUACAAGUAUGUGCAAUCAGUUUCAUGACAUUUUUAAUACUCGCUUCACCUGUCAAGAGGGGGGGUGUCUAUCUAUCUUCACUGACAGUCCAUGGUCCUCGAGUGUUUCUACUAAAAUUCCUUCCGAAGAAGCUUCUUUGUAGUAUGUAGCUUUUCUUUUAUGAUUGUGCAUGUGCAGAUAAUAUCUUUUACAACAAUGUGCGCUAGAUGAUGAUUAUGAGCAUUUUCAGUACAAGGUAUACUGUUGUGCGGAAGGUUGUACUCGUAGCAACAUGAUGAUCUUUUUUCCCACCCCAAGUAUUUGAUGAUUGGUUCAUCUUCUUGCCCAUCAGUGUCGAAUAGAGUGGUGGAUUCUUGUUUCUAUUGAGCUGUUGCAUGCAUUGUUACCUCAACUGUUACCAAGCUAAUGGAGGAAUUUCCUGGAAUCCGUUGGCACCUGUGCUUACACAUAUUGUGAAGUUGAAGAAGGCAGAGAUAGUAUCAACUUCAGACCAUCCCUUUUCAACCUCAAAUCGGUGGAUCACUUUUUAGAAGGUGCUCCGGCUUGGCAUUGAGGAGUCCAAGCGCCCCACGAGAGCGGCUUCCUAGCAAAAGCAGCCCGACUCAGCCAAGGAGCAGGCUUGCGUUGCCCAACAUCUGGUUGGAUCAUCUCCUCCUCCUCCUUGUCUGGUAGUGGCAUGCCGAGAGAUGACGACAAUGACUCCCCUCCGGUGGUGGACACCUACGUGGAGGAGCACAACCGGCACUCCAGUGACCCCAAGAAGAAGGGACCUGUGAGGAAAUGGUGAAGUCUGGCGCCCUCCCCCUCCGUUUAUCUAUCGUUUGUAUCUAGGUGUGGUGAUGAACCUGUACAUUUUUUGUUCGAUUG